Molecule: ribosomal RNA, 669 nt
Filed under: uncultured bacterium
Lineage: Bacteria
Description: bacterial SSU rRNA
Rfam family: Bacterial small subunit ribosomal RNA
Source: RNAcentral
AGUAAUGCUUGGGAAUCUAGCUUAUGGAGGCCUAUAACUACGGGAAACUGUAGCUAAUACCGCGUAAUAUCGAAAGAUUAAAGUGUGGGACCUUCGGGCCACAUGCCAUAGGAUGAGCCCAAGUGGGAUUAGGUAGUUGGUGAGGUAAAGGCUCACAAAGCCGACGAUCUCUAGCUGGUCUGAGAGGAUGACCAGCCACACUGGGACUGAGACACGGCCCAGACUCCUACGGGAGGCAGCAGUGGGGAAUAUUGCGCAAUGGGGGCAACCCUGACGCAGCCAUGCCGCGUGAAUGAAGAAGGCCUUCGGGUUGUAAAGUUCUUUCGGUAGCGAGGAAGGCAUUUAGUUUAAUAGACUAGGUGAUUGACGUUAACUACAGAAGAAGCACCGGCUAACUCCGUGCCAGCAGCCGCGGUAAUACGGAGGGUGCGAGCGUUAAUCGGAAUAACUGGGCGUAAAGGGCACGCAGGCGGUGACUUAAGUGAGGUGUGAAAGCCCCGGGCUUAACCUGGGAAUUGCAUUUCAUACUGGGUCGCUAGAGUAUUUUAGGGAGGGGUAGAAUUCCACGUGUAGCGGUGAAAUGCGUAGAGAUGUGGAGGAAUACCGAAGGCGAAGGCAGCCCCUUGGGAAUGUACUGACGCUCAUGUGCGAAAGCGUGGGGAGCAAACA